GUGACCAACUGAAGCAAGAGAUUAAAUGCUAGGAAGAAAUAGAGAAAAUGUCCUGGAUGAGAGGAGAGGAUUCGGAUGCAGAAAUGACGAGUCUGCUUAGUCUACAUUAUGUGCAUGGUGAUGGCGAGCAGGGUGGGGCAAUGGGACAAUACUUUUCUUUGCUUUUUAAAAAAUCAUCUGUGGUGACUAGUGUAGCCCAUUUUUCUCUCCUAUCUGAAUUUUCUUUUAUUGUGAAAUAUUUCAAAUAUACAGAAAAGUUAUGAUAAUUAUAUAUGUAACACAUAUCCAUAUAUUUGCUACCUGUAUUUGUUAACAUUUUGCCAUAUUUGCUUUAAGGGUCUCUUAUUUUUAACACAUAAAACAUCACAGUUACAGGUUGAAGUGCUCCACUUUUGAUGCUCUCCUGAUCUAUUAUUCUUUCUUGUAUGAGCUUUUCAAAUAACAAACCAUUCCUAAUUCUCAACAAUUCUUCACCUGGGCUUAUUCGUGAGUCUUCAGCCAGCUGAAGGUCAGGUAAGCAGUUCUGGUGAUGUUGGCUAGACCCUCUCAUAUGUUUGAGCAUUGGCUGGCUGCAGGCUGGAAUAGAUGACCUCAGCUGGGACAAUUGGACUUUCCUUCACUGGGCCUUAUCCCCCAGGAUGCUAGCCCAUAAUUUUUCACAUAAUGGUAGUCAGGUUGAAAAAGAGAGAAUUAACAUCAUUUUUACCACAUUCUGUUGAUUAAAGCAAAUCUGAAAACCAUCCAAGAAUCAAGAGUUAGGGUAAUAGACUUCACAUUUUGAUGAGAGGUGCUUACAUGAGUCACUUUGCAAAGAGCACAGGAUAGAAAAAAGAAUUGAGAAUAUUUGUGUCAUCCAUGGGUCUGUCUUUCUCUCCUUAGCAGUAAUCAUUAUCUUGAUGUUGUUGUUGUUCGUUUUAUGGGUUUAUUCAUAGUUUUAAUACAUAUCUAUAUAGUGUAACUAUGAAAUAUAUAAAGUAUUAUAUCAAAAAAAUUAUUUUCUAUAUAUCAUUCAAUAACUUCCUUUUAUAAAAUCCAAUACCAUGCUUUGGGGAUUUAACCAUACUGAUAGACUUAUAGCAACUUUAUUAAUCUUGGUUGUAGCAUGUUAUUUUUUUAAUACUCUGUAUUAUAUGCAUAUAGCCCAAAUUGUUUAUUUAUCCAUUCUAUUUAUUGACAAUGAGGUGGCUUCCACCUUUGUAUCAUUUGGUCCCAUGCUGCAAUAGCCACAUUCUUAUACAUGUAUUACUGUGCACAUUUGUUCAAACUUCUCUAGAGUGUAUGACUGGGUUUUCUGGAUUGUGGAAUAUGGACAUCUUCAAAUUUAAUAGAUAUGUUCUAAAUGUAGCCCCAAAGUGAGUAUAGCAGACUUCCCUUCUACAGUAUAUCAUUAUUGCUUUGCAUUUCCUUGGGUUCUGGUGAUGUCAAGCAGCUUCUGUAUAGUUUUGUUCUUUUUUUUUCCAGUAUUAUCUGAACCCAGCCCCUUUUAUUUUUUAUUUUGAGACAGGUUCUUGUUGCUUAAGGCCUCACUAAGUUACUGAGGCUGGCUUUGAACUUGUGAUCCUCCUGCUCCAGCCUUUUGACACUUAUCAAAGAACAAAGUGGGAGAACAGGUGUGCACCACCACACCCAGCUAGCGUAACAUUUGUUUAUAGGCCAUUAAGAUUUCCUUAUUUGUCAGCUUCCUGUGUAAAUUCUUGGUCCAUUUUUUUCCUUAAAUUGUUUCUGUUUCAUAUGGGUUGUGCAGAUUUUUUUUCUGUAUUCUGAAUAUUAAAGUUUUACUAGUUUUUCUUGCAAUUUUUUUCACAGUUUAUGGUUUAUUUUUCUUUUUUAAAAUUAGACUUUUUAAUUGAUAUUUUGAGGUGUUUUAUUUGUUUAUUAUUUUUUGACUAUAUUGUGGUGGGAUCAAACCCAGGGUCUCACAUAUGCAAGACAAACUAUCACUGAACUAUCCUCUAAAUCCAUCUUUUCACUUUUUCUUAUAUUUUAUUUUUACAGAGGUUUGAGAUUUUAAUGUAAUAUAAUUUACUACUCUUUUCCUUUAUAGUUUGAACUUUUUGUAUCUCAUUUCAGAUAUCCUUUCUUACUCUCAGGAUCAUAGCUAUAACUAUAUACUCAUCUGUUUUCUCCUAAGAAUUUUAAUGUUUUUCUUUUUAUUAUUUAGGACUUAAUCCAUCUGGUAUUCACUUUUGUGUAUUGUGAAGUAGCUCCCAUUUUACCUGGAUAUAGAAACAGGGAGAAAACAAUAAGACAUUAUAGCUAAAAAUUUUCUGGAACCAAUGAACAUGAAUCUUCAAAUAAAGGAGAAAUGAAGGAGGGAGAGAAAAAAGAAAGAAAGAAAAAAUUAAAAACUAUGUUCCCCAUCCUACAACUUCAGAUGUGAAUUUAAAACUUCAGUGUGAACAAAUCAGAAAAAAAAAAAUGAAGUGGGUUGUACUGUGAUGUACUAAUGGUUCUCAAAAGUCAGGAGCUGUGGGUUAGGAAGAAUGAGUUGGUCAGGAGUCCUGGCUUGGACCUGGAGGAUCUGUGUCACCUAACUGACAAGUUGUUGGUGGCUACUGGUACCUCUCCACGUGGGCAUCUGCACAAGCUGCUUCAUUGUCUCCAUAACAUGGCAGCUGGCUUCCUCCAGAGAAGUAAUCCUCAAGAGCAAGGUCACUCUCACUGAUGCUGCUAUGAACACCUUAGACACAAGUGUUUGUGUGGACAUUUAUCUUAAUUUCUGUUAGGUAGAUAUAGGAGUGAUAUUUCUGGGACAUAUGGUAAAUUUAUCUUUAACUUUUUAAAGAAACCAUUAAAAAACUAAAGUAUUUUUCAAGGCGGUAGCAUUUUACAUUCCUGCCAGCAGUAUAAGAGAGUUUCAAUUUUUCCAUAAUCUCACAAAAUCUUGUGACUGUCUUAUAAGAGCCAUCUUAAUGGGUGUGAAUGGGCACCUCACUGUAGUUUAAUUCUCAUUUCUCUAACAACUAGUGAUUUUGAGCAUCUUCCAUUUCCUUGUUAGUCAUUCAUAUAUCUCCUUUUGUAAAACAUCUGAUAAAGUCUUUUGUCCAUUUUAUAAUUGGGAAUUUUUAUAAUUGAGUUGUAAGAAUUCUUUAUAUAUUCUGAAUAUAAAUCCUUCAUAUGAUUUGCAAACAUUGUCUCCCAAUCUGUGACUCCUUUUACUUUCUUAAUGAUAUCUUUUGAAACACAGAAGUUUUACUUGUGAUGAAGUCCAAUUUAUCAACAUUUUAAAGUUAAUUUUGGUGCAUGGUAUGAAUUAAGGGACUAAAUUCAAAUGCUUGCAGGUGGACUUCCACGCAUCUUAAAACCAUUUGUUGCAAAGACUGUCUUUUCCCUUAUUGAAUUUCCUUGGUUCCUUGUCUAAAAUCAAUUGGCCAUAAAUAUAUGACUUUAUUUUUGGAUCUUCAAUUCUGUUUUAUUGAUCUGUAUGUCUAUCCUUACGCAAAGGAUUUUAAAACUUGCUACAAAGCUACUACAAUUAAGAUGUAAGUUUUGAAAUUAGAUGUCAUCUGAUUUUAAUCUUUUCAAGAUUAUGUUAGCUUUUUGAAUCCUUUGCAUUUCCCUAUAUAUCUUAGAUUGUCCUUUUCUUGGGGGGGAUUUGGAGUGGAACAGCUGAAAUUUUCAUAGGAAUUAUCAAUUCAUUUGGGGGAGAAUAAUAUUGAGUCUUAUAAUUAAUGAACAAGAAUAUUGUAUUAGUCAUAGUUCUCUAGAGAAACAAAACCAAUAGAGGGGAGCUGGGGUUGUAGCUCAGUGGUAGAGCACUUGCCUAGCAUGUGUAAGGCACUGGGUUUAGUUCUCAGCACCACAUAUAAAUAAAUAAAUAAAUAAAUAAAUAAAUAAAUAAAUAAAUGCCCAUUGACAACUUAAAAAAUAUUUUUAAAAAACUAUAAAGGGUGUGGGCAGCGGGAGAAAUUGUGGAGACUGGCAAUUCCAACAUCUGGAGGGUGUCUGGAGACCCAGAAAAGAGCUACUGCUGCUGUCUAAUAGCUGUCAGAAUGGGAACUCAGAAAGGAACAAAUGUUACCAUUCAAAUAUGAAGCCUUUUUGCUGCAGAAUUCCAUCUUGCUCAGGACAGAUUGGCCUUCAACUGAUUGAAGCCCACCCACGUUAUGGAGAUGGGAACUUUACUCAAAGUUUAUCCAUUUAAAUGUUAAUCUCAUCUCAAAACACCCUCACAGAAACUUCCAGAAUAAUGUUUAAUGGUUUUAUUGAUUGGUUUUUGGCUGUUAAACUCAGACUGCAUUGCUAGGAAGAAUCCCACAAUCAUGAUGCAUUAUGCUUCUUUUAUAUUAUUGUAAUUAAGUUGCUAAAAUAUUGUUAAGAAUAUUUACAUCUAUGAUUAUGAGGAAUAUUGAUCUAUAAUUUCAGUUAUUGAUGUCAUUAUUUUUAAAAUUCUAAUGUCUUUCUCUGGUUUCAAUAAAUGAUAAUGCUGGCCACA
Molecule: non-coding RNA, 4435 nt
Organism: Ictidomys tridecemlineatus (thirteen-lined ground squirrel)
Lineage: Eukaryota; Metazoa; Chordata; Mammalia; Rodentia; Sciuridae
Source: RefSeq, a predicted model, not a curated record